GCUAAGAUGGCAGAGCCCGGUAAUUGCAAAAGACCUAAGCCCUUUUAUUCAGAGGUUCAACCCCUCUUCUUAGCU
RNAcentral lists this transfer RNA (75 nucleotides) under Monacoa grimaldii (mirrorbelly). RNAcentral describes it as "tRNA-Leu (UUR)". It matches the Rfam family "tRNA". From Rfam's summary of the family: Transfer RNA (tRNA) molecules are approximately 80 nucleotides in length. Lineage: Eukaryota; Metazoa; Chordata; Actinopteri; Argentiniformes; Opisthoproctidae. The record is from RNAcentral.